AUUGAACGCUGGCGGCAUGCUUUACACAUGCAAGUCGAACGGUAACAGGCCUUCGGGUGCUGACGAGUGGCGAACGGGUGAGUAAUGCAUCGGAACGUGCCCAGAGGUGGGGGAUAACGCAGCGAAAGCUGUGCUAAUACCGCAUGUGAUCUGAGGAUGAAAGCGGGGGACCAGGCAGCAAUGUUUGGCCUCGCGCCUUUGGAGCGGCCGAUGUCAGAUUAGGUAGUUGGUGGGGUAAAGGCCUACCAAGCCGACGAUCUGUAGCUGGUCUGAGAGGACGAUCAGCCACACUGGGACUGAGACACGGCCCAGACUCCUACGGGAGGCAGCAGUGGGGAAUUUUGGACAAUGGGCGCAAGCCUGAUCCAGCAAUGCCGCGUGCGGGAAGAAGGCCUUCGGGUUGUAAACCGCUUUUGUACGGAACGAAAAGGCUCUGGCUAAUACCUGGGGCUGAUGACGGUACCGUAAGAAUAAGCACCGGCUAACUACGUG
Molecule: ribosomal RNA, 492 nt
Filed under: uncultured bacterium
Lineage: Bacteria
Description: partial 16S ribosomal RNA
Rfam family: Bacterial small subunit ribosomal RNA
Source: RNAcentral